CAGAUUCGGUGCGCUGCGUUUGGUGUUGGCGCUCUGGAUACGCUGUUUCCUAACUCGGCUGCGGAAAUCCAUCCCUCGCGUCACGCCUGAAGACUGAGACACAAAGGGCAAUACAUCAGACUAAGCGGAGGCCUUAAAGCAGCCUACGAGACAAUGUACACGUACCUGAGUAAAGUGUCGAUGCAGACGAGUGAAGGCAGCCGUCGCUAACAGGCGGCGCCGUCCCCCACCCCCACGGUAGCCGCGUCCGAGCAGACCGCGGCUGCCUCGCCGGCGUCUUCGGC
This is a long non-coding RNA of Schistocerca piceifrons (Central American locust), 284 nucleotides long. RefSeq lists it as uncharacterized. The transcript is spliced from 4 exons. The record is from RefSeq and is a predicted model, not a curated record. Lineage: Eukaryota; Metazoa; Arthropoda; Insecta; Orthoptera; Acrididae.